RNAcentral lists this ribosomal RNA (482 nucleotides) under uncultured bacterium. RNAcentral describes it as "partial 16S ribosomal RNA". It matches the Rfam family "Bacterial small subunit ribosomal RNA", at positions 28 to 523 of the family's 1533-position model. The record is from RNAcentral.
GACGAACGCUGGCGGCGUGCUUAACACAUGCAAGUCGAACGAUGAAACCUAGCUUGCUAGGUCGAUUAGUGGCGAACGGGUGAGUAACACGUGACUAACCUGCCCCUUUCUCUGGGAUAACGCUCCGAAAGGAGUGCUAAUACCGGAUACUCACAUCGAGGCACAUGCCUUGAUGUGGAAAGUUUUUCGGAAAGGGAUGGAGUCGCGGCCUAUCAGCUUGUUGGUGAGGUAACGGCUCACCAAGGCGACGACGGGUAGCCGGCCUGAGAGGGCGACCGGCCACACUGGGACUGAGACACGGCCCAGACUCCUACGGGAGGCAGCAGUGGGGAAUAUUGCACAAUGGGCGCAAGCCUGAUGCAGCGACGCCGCGUGAGGGAUGAAGGUCUUCGGAUUGUAAACCUCUUUCAGUAGGGACGAAGCGAAAGUGACGGUACCUAAAGAAGAAGCACCGGCUAACUACGUGCCAGCAGCCGCCGCAG